This 497-nucleotide ribosomal RNA is filed under the name uncultured bacterium. Its description in RNAcentral is "partial 16S ribosomal RNA". It matches the Rfam family "Bacterial small subunit ribosomal RNA", at positions 28 to 507 of the family's 1533-position model. The record is from RNAcentral.
GAUGAACGCUGGCGGCGUGCCUAAUACAUGCAAGUCGAGCGAACAGACGAGGAGCUUGCUCCUCUGACGUUAGCGGCGGACGGGUGAGUAACACGUGGAUAACCUACCUAUAAGACUGGGAUAACUUCGGGAAACCGGAGCUAAUACCGGAUAAUAUAUUGAACCGCAUGGUUCAAUAGUGAAAGACGGUUUUGCUGUUACUUAUAGAUGGAUCCGCGCCGCAUUAGCUAGUUGGUAAGGUAACGGCUUACCAAGGCGACGAUGCGUAGCCGACCUGAGAGGGUGAUCGGCCACACUGGAACUGAGACACGGUCCAGACUCCUACGGGAGGCAGCAGUAGGGAAUCUUCCGCAAUGGGCGAAAGCCUGACGGAGCAACACCGCGUGAGUGAUGAAGGUCUUCGGAUCGUAAAGCUCUGUUAUUAGGGAAGAACAAAUGUGUAAGUAACUAUGCACGUCUUGACGGUACCUAAUCAGAAAGCCACGGCUAACUACGUG